CGCAGCCGAGUUGCUCGGCGGCCGCGGCGGCGGUCUUGGCGUCGGCGUCGAGGAUCUUGAUGGCCGGUUCGAUUCCGGCGGCGGCCAC
Molecule: transfer RNA, 88 nt
Filed under: Mycolicibacterium neworleansense
Lineage: Bacteria; Bacillati; Actinomycetota; Actinomycetes; Mycobacteriales; Mycobacteriaceae
Description: tRNA-Lys
Source: RNAcentral